This 1452-nucleotide ribosomal RNA is filed under the name Berberis thunbergii. Its description in RNAcentral is "bacterial SSU rRNA". It matches the Rfam family "Bacterial small subunit ribosomal RNA". The record is from RNAcentral. Lineage: Eukaryota; Viridiplantae; Streptophyta; Magnoliopsida; Ranunculales; Berberidaceae.
AGAGUUCAAUCUUGGCUCAGGAUGAACACUAGCGGCAAGCAUAACACAUGCAAAUCGGACGGGAAAUGAUGUUUCUAGUGGUGGAAGGGUGAGUAACGAGUAAGAACCUGCCCUUGGGAGGAGAACAACAGCUGGAAACGACUGUUAAUACCCCGUAGGCUGAUGAGCAAAAGGAGGAAUCCACCUGAGGAGAGGGUCGCGUCUGAGUAGCUAGUUGGUGAGGCAAUAGCUUACCAAGGCGAUGAUCAGUAGCUGGUCCGAGAGGAUGAUCAGCCAUACUGGGACUUAGACAUGGCCCAGACUCCUAUGGGAGGCAGCAAUAGGGAAUUUUUUGCAAUGGGUGAAAGCCUGACGGAGCAAUGCCGCGUGGAGGUAGAAAGCUCACGAGUUGUGAACUUCUUUUCUCGGAGAAUAAAUAAUGACGAUAUAUGAGGAAUAAGCAUCAGCUAACUCUAUGCCAGCAGUAGGAGUAAGAUAGAGGAUACAAGUGUUAUUCGGAAUGAUUGGGCGUAAAGCGUCUAUAGGUGGCUUUUCAAUCCGUAGUCAAAACCCAGGGCUCAACCCUGGACAGGUGGUGGAAACUGCCAAACUGGAGUACGGUAGGGGUAGAGGGAAUUUCUGGUGGCGUGGUGACAUGCAUUGAGAUAAAAAAGAAAACCAAUGGCGAAAGCACUCUGCUAGGCCGACAUUGACACUGAAAGACGAAAGCUAGGGGAGCGAAUGGGAUUAGAUACUCCAGUAGCCCUAGUCUUAAAUGAUGGAUACUAUUCGCUGUGCGUAUUGACCCAUGCAGUGCAAUAGCUAAUGUGUUAAGUAUCCCUCCUGGGGAGUAGUUCGCAAUAAUGACAGGGGGCUGCACAAGCGAUGGAACAUGUGGUUUAAUUCGAUGUAAAACGAAGAACCUUACCAAGGCUUGGCAUGUUCAAAAUCCUCUUGAAAGAGAGGGGUGCCUUCGAGAACGCAGAUACAGGUGGUGUAUGGCUGUCGUUAGCUCGUGCCGUAAGGUGUUGGGAUAAGUCCCACAACGAGCGCAACCCUCGUGUUUAGUUGCCACUGUUGAGUUUGGAACCCUAAACAGACGGUCGAUGAUAAGUCGGGGGAAGGUGAGGACGACGUCAAGUCAUCAUGCCCCAUUAUGCCCUAGCGACACACGUGCUACAAUGGCCAGGACAAAGGGUCGUGAUCUCGUGAGGGUGACCUAACCCCAAAAACUUGUCCUUAGAUCGGAUUGCAGGCUGCAACUCACCUGAAUGAAGCCGAAAUUGCUAGUAAUCGCCAAUCAGCCAUACAACGGUGAAUUCGUUUUUGGGAGUUGUACACACCGUCCGUCACACUAUGGGAGCUGCCCAUGCCUGAAGUUGUUACCUUAACCACAAGGAAGGGGAUGCCGAAGGCAGGGCUAGUAACUGGAGUAAAGUCGUAACAAGGUAGCCGUGCCGGAAGGUUUGGUUG